AUGUAUAUGUAUAUAUGAGUGAGAGCCUCAAAAGUGAAUGAUGUUUAUAUAUAUGUAAGUUUCUCAAAUUAUAUUCAGAGGAAUAGCAUUUCUGGAAGUUGUUAUGAAGUAUUGGAAAAGAGUGGUUUCUGCAUCAAACAAAUAUUGGAAGUACUAUAUUCUAUCUUCCUGUUGAAGAUUUAUGAAGCACAUUAGUGUAGUCUCAGAUGUUCCCACAGAAAAUAAGUUUGUUUAAUUUUGUUUAUCCAAUGAUUCUGUUUAUUUUGGAUGUAGAACUGAUCAUGUAACACACUGUGAAGGGGCAUUUUGUAGUAUAUCCAUUUUGGAAAUGUUGCAUUAGUUUCUCAUUUAAGGAUCCAGUGGGGAUAAAGUUAACUCCUGACAUUUCUCCCUUUCUUCAGCAGCUCUUCCCUGUUUAGAAUGAAAUAUUGCUUUAGUUGUGGCUGUGCUUAUAUUUGUCAGAGGGAGAAUAAAAUGACUUGCAAGUGAUUUAAAAAGUGAUGCUUACACUUAAAAUUUUUUGUUUUUCCAAUUAGCAUUGAAUAAUAAUGAAAUUCAGGAAGAGUUUUGUCUCUUAUUCAUAUGUUCUUAUGUUUAUUUUUUUCUUUACAUCAUCUCUAUGAGUGGAUUGGAGCAAUUUGGGGAAGCUGAGAGACAAGCAGCCUAGGAAGAGAGAAGAAAAACCCAUACCACAGGAUGUGAUACAAAAGAGAACCAGGCAGAGCACCAGUAGGAGUACAACAAUUCAUGUGGAAUCUGUGAACAUCUUGAACUUCAAACACUAUCUCUACAUCUGCCUCUGGAGAUGCAGCUGGUGACGAUGAGAUGUAAAAUGCACCAGGGUCACUGUCUUGAAUUGUUACGCUGACCACAUGCUUUUUAGACACCUGAACAAGACACUGAAAGAGGGCCCACCUAAAGAUGGAUAUUCUGCUGAUCUUAAAGGUGUUCAACAGUGGUUUUGGGCUGUUCAGCUCUACCAAGAAGUGUCAGAACAGA
This is a long non-coding RNA of Sapajus apella (tufted capuchin), 999 nucleotides long. RefSeq lists it as uncharacterized. NCBI's taxonomy places the organism in Eukaryota, Metazoa, Chordata, Mammalia, Primates, Cebidae. The transcript is spliced from 4 exons. The record is from RefSeq and is a predicted model, not a curated record.